This 464-nucleotide ribosomal RNA is filed under the name Diopatra sp. A ZW-2021. RNAcentral's name for it is "partial large subunit ribosomal RNA". It matches the Rfam family "Bacterial large subunit ribosomal RNA", at positions 1928 to 2619 of the family's 2925-position model. Lineage: Eukaryota; Metazoa; Annelida; Polychaeta; Eunicida; Onuphidae. The record is from RNAcentral.
CGGCCGCGGUAUCCUGACCGUGCAAAGGUAGCAUAAUUAUUUGCCUCUUAAUUAGAGGCUAGUAUGAAUGGGUAGACGUGAACUAUCCUGUCUCUUCUUUAUAUAUAAAAAUUAAUCUUUAGGUGAAGAAGCCUAAAUUUAAAUAAAAGACAAGAAGACCCUAUCGAGCUUUAAUUUAUCAUUUAAUCCCUCUAUAUCUUAAACUAGAUAAUAAUUUUUGUUGGGGCGACAUAGGAACAAAUAAAACUUCCUUUGAUUAUUAGAUUUCAUAUCUUUCCAAAGAUCCAGUUUCUGAUCCCAGACAAUAGCUACCGUAGGGAUAACAGACUAAUUCUCCUCAAGAGUCCAUAUCUAAAGGAGACAUUGGCACCUCGAUGUUGGCUUAGGAUUUUCUUUUAAUUGCAGCAGAUUAUAUAGAAGGUUUGUUCAACCUUUAAACUCCUACGUGAUCUGAGUCAGACCGG